Molecule: non-coding RNA, 67 nt
Filed under: Rhodobacteraceae bacterium PD-2
Lineage: Bacteria; Pseudomonadati; Pseudomonadota; Alphaproteobacteria; Rhodobacterales; Paracoccaceae
Description: Singlet oxygen resistance RNA X
Rfam family: Singlet oxygen resistance RNA X
About the family: SorX (RSs2461)like SorY is a singlet oxygen induced sRNA that counteracts oxidative stress by targeting mRNA for a transporter in Rhodobacter.
Source: Rfam by way of RNAcentral
GCCUCACGGCGCGUCAUUUUCAACCUCCCUGUUGGACUUCGGCCGAGCUUUGUGCUCGGCCUUUUUU